Molecule: ribosomal RNA, 399 nt
Filed under: Flabelliderma sp. 137-GSR-0429
Lineage: Eukaryota; Metazoa; Annelida; Polychaeta; Terebellida; Flabelligeridae
Description: partial 16S ribosomal RNA
Rfam family: Bacterial large subunit ribosomal RNA
Source: RNAcentral
GCAUAAUAAUUUGCCUUCUAAUUAAAGGCUAGAAUGAACGGACAAACGAAAAUCUAACUGUUUCUUAUUAAUAACUAAAAAUUUAUCUUUAGGUGAAAAAGCCUAAAUAAACUUAAAAGACAAAAAGACCCUGCAGAGCUUAAUAUAAACCUAUAACUUAAAUAAUUAAAUAUUUUGUUGGGGCGACAAAGGAUUAUAUAAAACAUCCUUAUAUCCUAAGGAAAUAUUCCAAAUAAAAGAUCCUCAUAUGAUCAAAAGCAUAAAGCUACCUCAGGGAUAACAGGCUUAUCUUUCUUAAGAGUCCAUAUCAACAGAAAGCUUUGGCACCUCGAUGUUGGCUUAGAAUCCCUAAUGAUGCAGCAAUCAUAAAAGGUAGGUUUGUUCAACCUUUAAAAUUCU